Long non-coding RNA from Prunus persica (peach), 1561 nucleotides. RefSeq lists it as uncharacterized. The record is from RefSeq and is a predicted model, not a curated record. The transcript is spliced from 2 exons. NCBI's taxonomy places the organism in Eukaryota, Viridiplantae, Streptophyta, Magnoliopsida, Rosales, Rosaceae.
UGUGGAACAACCUCGUUCUUGCAUUCCUAUACUAUAAUUGGUCCGUGCUCUAGCGAGAAACAGAUAGAGUAAAAUCAAUCUAACAAGAAACUGGUGCAUUUAAUCUAUUUUGUGUUCGUCAUUUAGUUCAUUGAGCUCUAGAUAUCAUUGGAGGCAUUUGAUACAAAAUGAUGCAGAAAAUGUGCAAAACUGAUCACUAGGCUAGCAGCCUUGUUUUGUACAUACCAUCUUCAUGAGAUGUUAGAUCGAGGCUCACAACAUAUGGUUGGAAAGCUGAAAUUUUGGGCUUCAAGUGAUAGUGCUCAAAAGUCGCAUUUGGAGAUUUAAUGCCCAAGUUGAAAGCCCACGAAAUUUCUUGGUCAUGUUGGGAUAAGCAUGAGCUCUUGUUGCUGGGAACAAAGUUAGGUCUGCUAAUUUAUUGUUUACAGCUCAAGUGGAGCAUUAAUGAGCAUUCAUAAUGAAGAAGAUAGCAAGAGAUCACAUAUAAUACAAUCCAUGCAUGUUAAGGGCUGAUUGGGAUGAGAGGAAUAUGAGCUUAAAGACAAACCCAAUUUGGGCUACACUCCCUUGUCAGCCCAGUUUCGCAGGUCACAUUGCAUGCCUUAUUUCAGCAACCUAGACAGCUCGGAUGAGAAGACAUUCUUGAUAGAAGUUGUUCCAAUGAGUGUCUAUUAUAGCAUAUUCAAAUUUCAUCCCCAUCAGAUACAUCUAGAGUCGUCAUCACGUCAAACACUCAACCAAGUUCACAGAAAGUCCUAGUUGGCUGCUAUCACAUUUAAUGUUCCCACAUCCCUGUAGCCAUGUGCUACACAUAAAAGCAGCCACAUAUGGGAGACAAAUUAGCUUGGGAACUUCGAAAGGGGAACAAAAGUCAAGCUUACCAUGAGAAUACCAGGAAGAAUAGUCCAUCAAAAGCAUUUAUUGGGCAGCUGGAGUAGUUGGCACUUAAUAAGGCAGUUGGGCAGCUGUUGAGAGAGAUGUUCUACAACAACCAAAGGGAGAACGAAUUUGGCACUUUAUAAAUAGAGAGCUAUACACAUUCAUUCAUUUAUCUCCUAUAGAGUGAAAUUCGUUUUCCUCUUGGUUGGUGUAAAACAGCCAUCUCAGCAACUGCCCAACUGCCUCAUUAAUUGCCAACGGCUCCAACUGCCCCAUAAAUGCUUUGGUAGACUCGUCUUCUUGUUCUCCAAAUGCACAUGGCUACAGGGAUGUGGCCACAUUAAAUGUGAUAGCAGCCAACCAAGACUUUCUGUGAACUUGGUUGAAUAUUUGACGUGCUAAGGACUCCAGAUAUCUCCAAUAGGGUGGAAAUUUGGAUAUGCUAUAAUAGAUACCCAUUGGAACAACUUCUAUUAAGAAUAUCUUCUCAUCCGAGCUGUCUAGGUUGCUGAAAGAAGGUUGUAAUGUGACCUACGAAAAUGGGCUAACAAGAGAGUGUAGCCCAAAUUGGGUUUGUCUUUAAGCUCAUAUGGAUUGCAUUGAAUGUGAUCUCUUACUGUCCUCUUCAUUAUGUCUACUCAUUAAUGCUCCACUUGAGUUGUAAAUAAUAAAUUAGUAGACC